UUUUUUAUGAAAGGUAGAAAGAGUUGAGAGAAGGAGGAGCUAGAAAAAAGGGGUUUUAGAGAAAGAGAAGAAGAUGAACGAAGAGGAUGAAGAACAAGAGGAGAGGAGAGCUAGAGUUUGAAGAUAACCAUCAAAUUCUCCAUUUUUCAUGAGGUAAGGGAAGUUUUGUUCAUGGGUAGAGGUUGGUUGAUGAAGGGAGAGAAUGAAAUUCAUUCUCAUCUCCCAAGAUCCUUCAUCGCUCUUAUUGAUGCUUUAGAAUUCAUGUUUGAAUCCAUGUUAUCUUGUUGUGUUGUUUUGAGAAAAAUGAGUUUUUAUAUAAUUUAAUGAAUUAAUGAUGAUGAAUCUUGAUGAUUUGGUGUUGAUUGUUGAUGGAAUGAUGUUUGUUGAGGUUCAAAUAUCAUGAGUGUUGAUUAGUGAAGUCUUAGGACUAAUGGGAUUCAAAUUGGGUUUUUGGAAAAUCAAAGAUUGGAUUUUUAUAGUUUAAGAAAAACUGUUUUUGAUAAAGUCUGCAGCAAAAACGUGAAAAUUUGACCCCUUUGUGUUCUGAACUGGUUUUUGACGUCAACAUAAAAGUUGUAGCUCUUUCCCUUAGAUUUCCAACGCAUGUUUACGCGUUGAAAUCCGAUAUACGUAGCUCAACUUAUGGUCUGCGCGGUGAGCAGGUCAAAACCUGCAAAAUUCUGCAGGUGGAUGCUGUCUUUUGCGCCUCAUGCGCAAAGCUAGCGCAUCAUGCGCAAAUCACAGUCCUGCAACUCUGGUUUGCGUUGUUCUGUGAUGUUAGGUCUAUUUUGCCAAUCCCUUUUUAUCCCUAAUCUUUAUACUACUUAAUCAUAAUUAUUAGGUGAGUUUAGGAGAGUUUAAAUCACUACUUUUCAUGAUAAAACUUAGUGAUUAAUUAGGAGAAGUUGUUUUCGAAUUAAAACGAAUCUAGUAAAGAAUAAUUAAGAAUUUUGGGAAAUAUAGAGAAUGUAGUUGAGUGGAUUAGCUAAAUUAUUUUAUCUAAUCUUCGAAAAGAUAAUGGUGAUGAAUAUAUGAAUGAAACUAAAUUGAUGUGUUAGUUAAUGUAUUUAAUUGAUAAACUUUAUUUGUGAGUUUAUUGAUGAAGUGUUAUUGACGUGGAUUAUUGAUGAAUUCUAUUCGUGUACUAAAUGAUGAAUUUUAUUGGUGUAUGAAUUCUCUUGGUGUAUUAGUGAUGUGUUCGUGCGUAUGCACAAUGAAGGUGUUUUCAUGCUUAUGCACAAUGUCGAGGUGUGAUUGUUCAUGAAUAUAACUAGGAUGUUCAAUUUAUUGAUGAUGAUAAAUAAGGAUUUAUCAUGCGUAGGUGUAUUCUAAAGACGAUAAUUUAGAAUAUUUGGAUUAUGUUAUCCAUAUUAUGUUGAUGUUGUAGUUGAGAUAAAACCAUAUAUUUGGUAUAUGCACAUUCAUGCAUUCAUAAGUUGUGUUUAUUGAUGAGUAUUCUAGAGACGAUGAUCUAGUUUACUGUUGUUUUAGAGACGAUGAUGUAAAACAUUUGGAAUAAGUUUUCCAAAAUUAUGAUGAUGGGUACCACAUGCAUAUAGGCCGUAUUUAGGAAGACAUUGCAUACUUAAUUUCAAUAGAUGAAAUGUUGUAUGAUUGAUUUAAUUAAUUGAUUAGUGAUGUGUAAAUUGAGGUGUUGAUUAAAUGGUAUAAAUGUUGCAUGAAUUAUUAAUGUGAUAUAAUCAUGUUUAUACCUUGUUGUAUAUUUCCUUUUUUUUUUGCUCAUUACAUAAACUCACCCUGUUAUUUGUUAUUUGACUGGGCACUUGGGAACUCAAUUUCUCAGGUGUUGUGUUUUGGUGUUCGUGUUCCGGUGUAGCCUCGCUCUGAUUUGGACACAUAGGGAGGGUGUAUAAUAUUUCAAUUUUAUUUAUAUGGUCUAGGUUAAGACAUAAAAAUGUAUAAGUCACUCGUAAAAGAUUUUCAUCUAAUGCACGUGUAUACUAAUUAAAUUUAUAGUAAUGUAAUUUGGGAAUAGUAAUACCCUAAUUCCUAAUAUUCCUCUAUCUCCAUCCUUAAUUAUUAACUAAUAAAGUUUUAUUUUUAUCUGCUGCGAAAAUUUUAAAACAAUCCUCUUAUAAAACUAGAAUAAUACGAGUAUUCAGGUUAGGGUGUACACGUGUUGUUAGAGGGAAUUUGGGACGGGGUCUCAUUAUUUAGGAGGUUCCUAGAUAAGAUUGCACGGGUAGUGUCUAGGCGAUAAGUCAAGUACCGGGUGUUGGUCGAAGACUUUGAACUAGAGCUAUUAUAGUUGAUUCAUUCCUGGAUUGGUAUCCCCCAGAUUAGGUGACGUUGCACCGAACUGGGUUAACAAAUGAUUUGUGUUAUUUAUCUUCAUGCACUUAGUUUAUUUAUAACUUGUUUAUUGUGUUAUGUACUGGUACAAGAUGUUAUAGCAUCUUUCGCAGCAUAUUUCCACCAGC
This 2441-nucleotide long non-coding RNA is filed under the name Trifolium pratense (red clover). RNAcentral's name for it is "long non-coding RNA (TPRA_LNC004504)". The record is from RNAcentral. Lineage: Eukaryota; Viridiplantae; Streptophyta; Magnoliopsida; Fabales; Fabaceae.